RNAcentral lists this non-coding RNA (75 nucleotides) under Desulfobacterales bacterium. RNAcentral's name for it is "c-di-GMP sequence". It matches the Rfam family "c-di-GMP-I-GGC riboswitch aptamer". Lineage: Bacteria; Pseudomonadati; Thermodesulfobacteriota; Desulfobacteria; Desulfobacterales. The record is from RNAcentral.
ACAUGAAAAGCCAAACCUGCUGUGAGGCAGGGACGGAAAGCCACGGGUUUCAAUGAAGCAGCCGGGUUACCAAAU